RNAcentral lists this ribosomal RNA (568 nucleotides) under Aeromonas salmonicida subsp. salmonicida. RNAcentral describes it as "bacterial LSU rRNA". It matches the Rfam family "Bacterial large subunit ribosomal RNA", at positions 2385 to 2925 of the family's 2925-position model. Lineage: Bacteria; Pseudomonadati; Pseudomonadota; Gammaproteobacteria; Aeromonadales; Aeromonadaceae. The record is from RNAcentral.
CAGGUCGAGCAGGUACGAAAGUAGGUCAUAGUGAUCCGGUGGUUCUGAAUGGAAGGGCCAUCGCUCAACGGAUAAAAGGUACUCCGGGGAUAACAGGCUGAUACCGCCCAAGAGUUCAUAUCGACGGCGGUGUUUGGCACCUCGAUGUCGGCUCAUCACAUCCUGGGGCUGAAGUCGGUCCCAAGGGUAUGGCUGUUCGCCAUUUAAAGUGGUACGCGAGCUGGGUUCAGAACGUCGUGAGACAGUUCGGUCCCUAUCUGCCGUGGGCGUUGGAUGAUUGAAGGGAGUUGCUCCUAGUACGAGAGGACCGGAGUGAACGAACCUCUGGUGUUCGGGUUGUCACGCCAGUGGCACUGCCCGGUAGCUAAGUUCGGAAUCGAUAACCGCUGAAAGCAUCUAAGCGGGAAGCGAGCCCUGAGAUGAGUCAUCCCUGACCCCUUGAGGGUCCUAAAGGGCCGUUGGAGACCACAACGUUGAUAGGUGGGGUGUGUAAGCGCAGUGAUGUGUUGAGCUAACCCAUACUAAUUACCCGUGAGGCUUAACCAUACAACACCCAAGAAGUGUUCUG